GGGGAAUAUUGCACAAUGGGCGAAAGCCUGAUGCAGCAACGCCGCGUGAGCGAUGAAGGCCUUCGGGUCGUAAAGCUCUGUCCUCAAGGAAGAUAAUGACGGUACUUGAGGAGGAAGCCCCGGCUAACUACGUG
RNAcentral lists this ribosomal RNA (134 nucleotides) under uncultured bacterium. Its description in RNAcentral is "partial 16S ribosomal RNA". It matches the Rfam family "Bacterial small subunit ribosomal RNA", at positions 356 to 507 of the family's 1533-position model. The record is from RNAcentral.